Pelobates cultripes (western spadefoot toad) is the source of this 336-nucleotide non-coding RNA. NCBI's taxonomy places the organism in Eukaryota, Metazoa, Chordata, Amphibia, Anura, Pelobatidae. The record is from the annotation of a GenBank genome assembly.
AAUUACUCUAGCCACCUGCACAAUAAAAAAAUUCUACUUGCUACUAAAUAUUGCAUGGGGGGCUCAAUAAAUCCUACUUAACUUUCUAUAUCUUGCUUAUUUGUAUGAAAGAUGCAAAAAAACAAAUAUGAGUACCAACUUUGGACAUGGUUUGUGACUACGUGGCUGCUAAAAAAAAGACUGGACAUACCCCAUUUUGAUACCCUGGGUUGUCUAUUUUUGCAAAUGGUACACCAUAAAGGGGGUAAUUGUAAUUUCUGGGUUGUCAUACAGUCUCAAAUUUCAAUGUGUAUAAAGCAAAAUGGGCAAGCUCUAUAUUUAACACUCUAACUUUCU